UAUAAUUACUAUGCCGUCGGUGCCCCGUAAAAAGGGUCAAAAGGGAACACGGUGCGAAUCCGUGACAGCCCCCGCUACUGUCAGUGCUUAUGCGGCUUCAUAUCCAUUGGGGUCUUAAGAUCUUCGAGAAGGGAAGUCCGCUUAAAGGCAUGAGCCAGGAAACCUGCCGAUGAGCUUUACUUAUU
RNAcentral lists this non-coding RNA (185 nucleotides) under Oscillospiraceae bacterium. The record is from RNAcentral. Lineage: Bacteria; Bacillati; Bacillota; Clostridia; Eubacteriales; Oscillospiraceae.